Molecule: long non-coding RNA, 1478 nt
Filed under: Equus asinus (donkey)
Lineage: Eukaryota; Metazoa; Chordata; Mammalia; Perissodactyla; Equidae
Description: lncRNA (ENSEASG00005026775.1)
Source: RNAcentral
UUUCAACACACCACUCAGAACAGGGCAAAAUUUAAAGCUUAUGAAUUGCUUAUUUCUGGAGUUUUUCAUUUAAUAUUUUCAGACCACAGUUGACCGCAGGCAAGUGAAACCGUGGAAAGUGAAACUGUAGAUAAGGGGCACUCCUGUAUAGCAAAGACUUGUAGGCGUGAUUAAUUUAAGGAUCUUGAGAUGGGGAGAUUAUCCUGGAUUACUCCAGUGUCAUCACAAGAGUCCUUAUAAGAGGGAUGUGAGAGGGUCAGAGUCAGAAGACGAUGAUGUGAUGAUGGGAGCAGGAAGAGAAAAGGUGAUGCGGUGGGGGACCAUGAGCUAAGAAAUGGGGCAGCGUCUGGAAGCUGAAAAAGACAAGGAAUGAAUUCUCUUCUGGAGCCUCUAGAAGGAAACAGCCCUGCUGACACCCUGGUUUUGGCCCAAUGAGCUCCAUUUCAGACUUCUGACCCCCAGAACGAUUUUCGAAAUCUUUUCAUAUCUGGCUCCGUAGAAGACAGCUGGAUUCGCAUAGCUGCCCCUGCAUUCUAUCUGUUGUGAUAUGCUGUUUUGGUUGAAGUGUGUGAAGAAAAUUCCACCUCACACAGAUAUGAAGCUGGUCGUGCCUGCUCCUGCAUUGCUGACCCAAAAGUGAACUUGGACUCCAAGUGGGCGCUCAGCAAACGUGUGUGGGACAAGACAGGACAUUCCCUGUACAGUACCCCGUAUGCUCGGGCCACAGAGCCAGCAUUGAAACUCCUGGGCAUUCAAGUCUGCCACGUUCCACCCAGCGGGAAAAAUUCAGAGCUGACAUUAAUUCAGGCCCCACAUACAUGAUUCUUACUGAGUAAGACAUCAAGACAAUCUCGCCCUUUGUCGGAACUGUGGGAGUCUGACUUACGCGUCGAGAGAAGCCAGUCUAAAAUCAGUCGCUUUUUGAAACCAUCGGCUUAAGAAAUUAAGGAUUCUGUCAGCGUGCCCUGAAUUCUGGGCCCAGCAAUUAAUUCCUCCUAGAUUAAAGGAUUGUUGUGUUUCUGAUACAUUAUUAUGCGGAGUGGGCUUGCUGUGAAUUUUAAAACUUUAACCAGAAUCCUCAUUAACUGGGAUCUUUUAUCUGUGUGCAACUCGUAGAAGAGGCCAGUGGCUAGAAAGUGAGCUGAUGCAUCCAAAAGAAACAGCAUUCCAGAGGGCGUCCUAAUGCACAUUCGUCCAGGCAGCUGUCCUCCUCCUGAUGGUAACAGGGCCAUUUACUCAUAACACGCCAGGCUCAGGCUGGACAUUGGACAUCACCCUGCUGAAUCCUCGCCCGCCCUAUCAGGUGGCCACAGUUAUUAUUAUCUCCAGUUUACAGGCGAGGGGACUGCGGCUGGUGAAGGGAGGUGAAGAGCCCUGCUCAGGCCAGUGGGUGGCCCAGGUCUAUGCGACCUCCUGGCCCCAUGCUUGACCCCACCUUACCCUGCACCCCCUUCUCCCUGGACAACAAUAAAGAUCGC